AACAGUUCCAUCUUUGGAAUGUUCAACCGAGACAGGUAAAUAAAAAGGUGUUUAGAUUUGGAAAAGGUGUUAAUUGUCAGCAACUAUACGACACGUGGAAUGGAAAGCAAAACGAAAAAUUUGGAAAUGUGCAUGUCAUUGUCAUGUUGAUGCAAAACUCAAAUUGUCCUUAACACAGAUGACAGGCAGGAUGAAAACUUGGGCGCUGCCGGUUUUUUAUGUAAAACCAAAUGCGCACCUCGCUUUGGUAAUAAAAUAGUGGUACUACUUGCAAGUUGCAAUGCCUUUGUGAAAUUCUGAUUCCUACACACGUAUUGCUUGUACUUGCCUAGUGCCUAACUAACUACAUUUAAUUUCACCGACAUUGUUUUAUUUUCAUUUGUCCUUGCGAAGGGAUCCGAUAUAAAGUAACAAAUCUCUAUAACAAUACCCGCGUGUAAUAGAGUCCACAACUUUUUUAAUUUAAAAAGUGUCAAAAAGUACUAAAAUACAAAAAAAAAAAAACUAUUGAAGUAACAUUUGCGCACUAAUUUAGUGCGCAAUAGGACCAAACUGUAAUUUUGCAAUUUUGCCCUAUUGCGCACUAAAUUAGUGCGCAAUAGAGAUUCAAUAAAUUCCGCCCAGCUUCAUUUUCCAAGCUACUCUUCUUCACCUCCUCCAUUUUCACUCUUUCAACAUACUUUAGGCCCCCCUGUUGACACCCAAUUUUGUCCCUCCUUUAUUCUAAUUUAUUUCCUUGGGCUUUAAAUUUAUUAACGAGCUAAAUACUUUGUUUUCACUACUAUUUUUUAUUUUCUACUACUAUUAACAUCGUUACUGUCAUUUUCACUAUUCUACUAUCAAUAUUACUAGUAUUACUUUAUCACAAAUUUUAAAUGGUUCGUCAUCGUUUCAUUUUAGGAUUUGUACUAGUUAAAUUAAUUUUAAUUUAUUAAAUCCUUUACUUUCUACAUAUUAAUUACUAUUUUUCUUCACAUAAUACGUAUUGCACUAGUUAUUAAGUUAGAAGCCCAAAAAAUAAUUAAAUAGAGGAGUAAGGAUCCAUAUUUUCAGCCAAAUAAAUGGCCCAAACGACCAGCCCAUUACCCCUAAAACUUUCGGACCAACUACCCGCCUAAAAUUACCCAGUCCAGCCCAAUUAAGUCCCCACGACCCGACCGGCCCAACGCAUUAUACCACUUCAUCGUCUAACCCUAACCCCUUCAACCAAACUAACACCGCACCCUACUCUCUCUCUCUCUCUCUCCCCCCAUUCUCUUGUCGUCUUCUCUCCUCUCUCCUCUCCCUUUUCAGCUAAAAUCCCUAACCACCUUUAACCUUACACAGUUCUGUCCACACCAUUUUGAUACAAAAAACGUCUAUAUGUUUGCUUUACCUGAGUUUUCUGUCUUCGACAGAGGAAAUGAAUCCUUUUCCAGCUUCAAACACAUGUCGAUCUGAAAGGAUCAUAAGUGGUCGAUCCAUUUGCGGAUAUAAUCCAAGUCAACCCUUUGAAUUGGCUCGAAAACGCCUUCAAUAUUGAGAUUCAAACGGGUCUAUUUUGGAUUCGUUUUCAAACAGCUAUUCAGAUUAAAAUCCCGCCCAAAAACGAAACCCUAGAGUGGGAGCUUCACUUAUAAAUAAUCUCAAGUCCUCAUCCGAAAAGAGGAGGAUUAUCGAAACACGGCUUCACUUUUUUUUUUUAAAAAGGGGCACUUUCGUUUUCUGUCAAGAUUUUCGGGUUAAAAGGGGUUUCCAAUAUAACUAGGGUUUCAACAAAAAUCCAAUUUUCAGUUGCGAUUUCUGUUAAGUCUACAUCAGUUUUACAUUUUCUUUUUUUCCUUUGUUGAAUUCGAGUUCGUCGUGAUCGAGCGAAGAUCUGAGACUCCCACACCAGUUCACUGCACCAACAAAAGGUAAUAUCUGAGACCAUUGUUUUUUUUAGUUUCUGAAAUAUAUAAUAAUGAUGCUUAUUUAACGUGUUGGAAGCCACGGAUUAGAAUUUUGUUUCAUCAGGUUUAAUUUUGUUUGGUUCUCUGUUUUGUUUAGUCAGUUAUGAAUAUAUUUUCUAAAAUGCCUUUUCUAUGUCCAAGUACCUGUAAUCUGCAAGCUACCUGAAAACAAUAGAACAUGUAAGUGAAGAUGACAGUGCUAAGAAAGGAGUUCUGUGUGCUUAUCUGCGAUCAAAUGAUGACAAUAUUCUGUUUGUUUUGAUUUUGAUUCCAACUCUAAGAUUUUUUGUCUAGUGAGGAAAUUCUCAUAAACAUGUGGGUGUUUGUAUGAAAUACUUGGCUUGCGUGUGGAAUUCUUCCUUCAGUUCGUUGAGAAGGCUGGUGAUACUAAAUAGAGACAGGCCUUUGUAGUUGUCUUUUAUACUUGUCUAAAAGGCCCAACGCUUGGUGAAGCUACUGUUGUUAUGUUAUCCUAUUCCAUUAGUGGCAUCUAUUAUUCUGUUAAGUUUAUGGCUGUGGCAUUUACGUCGUUGGAUUUGGUGGUUAGUAUCAAUUAAUUAGGUGGGCUGUUGUAAAGGUCUGUAAUGUUGUCAAUACUAGGUGAUGGUACACUACUGUAGGAUUAUGUUAAUUGUUAAUAGUAAAGUUUAAUGGUCUGCCAUCUCUAUUUUCUUAAAGACGUGUAAAGCAUAUCAUUUGGUUUUUGUUUACUUUUAGUGAAUCAAAGUUACUCCCUUAAUCUUUCCUCUGUUGAAAAUGCCGAUUGGAAUAGCUAAAAUCAAUCACUAAACUUUUGUCUCAAGGCUAAAAUGAUUGAUGUGCACUCUUAUUUUGAGAACUUGGCUUGGUGAGAAAACAUGGUUUCAGCUGCUGUUUGAUGGCAGCAGCCCUCUCGUUUGGUCUGAAUUUGCUUUAAGUUGGAGUUUCAGCCUAUUUAUAAGUCGCUGUUUUCAUAGUGUCUUCUGUCGUUUGGUCUGAAAUCUGUUCUGUUUUCAUAGUGUCUUCUGUCGUUUGGUCUGAAAUCUGUUCUGUUUUCAUAGUGUUUUACAUAGCUCCCUCUUGCAUAUUCCAAAUUACAGCAUUAUUCAUAGCCUGCCGAUAAGUAGCAUCAGCAAUACAUUCUUGUUUGGGCAUGGACUAAUAUGUGUUAGGUGAUUUUAUAUGUGCUGAAAGAAUUUACGAGUAAAAACAUUGUUUGUGCUCCUGCCUAUUUUUCUUCAUUAAAAUUUAUUUUGAGGGUAUUGUUGCCAUUCCAGUUUCUUUAACUUUCUUCUUUAUCUUCCGUAAUUUCCUUAAUCGGGAUUUCUUUCUAAUCCUUUACAUUUUCUUUCUUUGUUUGCAUGACAUGCCCGGGCCGACGAGUUUUACUUUGAGACUCCACGACACCGCUGCCAUAAGAAGUCAUACAUCACCUUCUCUCGGUCUCUUCAUUAAAUAGCAACAUUGAAAGGAUUCCCUCCUUUCACAGGAGUCGGAUUCAAGUCAAUUAUUUUAUCCCCUCUCCAUCUAAUCUUUUUAUAUGAUUUGUUGUUUGUUGUUUGAUUAAAUUAUCGUUGUUUAUCUUGGACGUGACUUUAGCUGUAUAAAAACAGAGACUCCUUAGUAUUUUGACCUUUAGCUAAUAAAUAGUUGUCUUUCUAAUCUUCGUAGUGAGAGUUUUAAACUUGUAGAUAUCGCCUGGUAAGACUAAUUUCUUAAGAGGAUUAGUAAACAUGAGAGUUUAAGCUUUGAAUUGAAAUUUGAACCAAAUGACAUUGGUUCGAAAUUUUGUCAUCGGCUAAAAUGUCCUGCCAAAUUAAAGUUCUUUUCUUGAAAAGCAAAUAAAGUUCUUUUCUUGAAAAGCAAAUACGUUUUCCUGAACAUUAUACUUACCGACUAUACACUCUAUAUUAUACUUAUACAUAUAUAUUCAAACUAUUAUCACCUAUCGUGAUAUAUAAAAUGUUUGCAUUUUUCGUAUCACACUUAGCUUAAUUAAUUAUCAUAAGUGUCCUACUAAAGACUAUCCACCUACUUUAAAUUAUAACUUAACAUUAUUUUAUAAAACGUUUUUAAGUUUUAUGGUAAUUCUAUUCAAAGGCAAUAAAUUACCAUUUCUAAUAGUGAUGAAUUCUUUUCCAAGCGUAAUUCAUACCUUUAUUUUCCCCACAAGUCCUAUUUUAAAUAACAUUCUUAGAUGUCUAUCAAUAACUUUAGCUUUGCUUACAAAGAUUUUUUCUUAAAUAGUGUAAAAUGUUACAUCUACAUUUUUUAGCUUUUUUAAUUAAGUCCGGUCGGUUAACCAUUAUUAAUGGAAUUUAGGAUGCCUAAUACCUUUCUUUUAAGUUAGUUGAACCCUUACCUAGAUCUUUUUGGUUUCGUAGACUUUAAAAUAAAAUUAAAUUUAGAUAAUUACUUUAAUUAACCUUAAGUGUCCUAAUUCACCAUAAAUAAUUAGGUGGUGACUCCUUGACUUUAAUUAACCCCGAAAUUAUCGGAAUGUUAUAAACUAUUUUGAUCCCGGUUAAAAUAGGGUAUAACACCCCCCCCCCCCCCCCACCUCAAAAUCAUGUCUCAAAGCUCUGAAACGUCAAACUUUGCUAUAAAACCCGAUGUUUGUGAAUGUGGUCGUUAUUGUUAGCUAAAACCAUCAAGGACCGAAGAUAAUCCGGAGCGUCGUUUUUAGCGUUGUAAUGUGCCUUAAGAUAUGGGCGGUUGCAAACAUUUUCGUUGGGAAGAUAGCAUUCCCGUGGAUAAAAUGGUGGCAGCGAAGAUUAAAAAGCCUCCUGUUGAUAGAGAUACCGCAACUUCACGUAUCUCAAGAGACACUGUGAAGUUUGACUUACAAUUUAAGCUUAUGGAAGCUAAAGAAAAGAUUGACCUUUUGGAGGUCUUGCUAAAAGAAUCCAAAGAAAAAUAAAGUUUUCUCAAGGCUAACCUUAGAGAGAAACUCAACACGAGAAAAAUGUUUUGAAAGAAAAAUUGAAAUUUUGGAAGAUUAUUUGUGCUAUCUUGCUGUUGUUUAUUAUUUCUAUGUAUUUUGUUUAUUAAGUUUAAUAUUUCUACGUAUUUUGUUUUUCUAUUUAUUUUGUUAUUGUUAUGUACUUUGUUGCUACUAGUUGCAUGUUUUCAUU
Long non-coding RNA from Lycium barbarum (goji berry), 5044 nucleotides. RefSeq lists it as uncharacterized. The record is from RefSeq and is a predicted model, not a curated record. Lineage: Eukaryota; Viridiplantae; Streptophyta; Magnoliopsida; Solanales; Solanaceae. The transcript is spliced from 2 exons.